GGGCCCGCACAAGCAGUGGAGCAUGUGGUUUAAUUCGAUGCAACGCGAAGAACCUUACCAAGGCUUGACAUAUAGAGGAAAAGUGCAGAAAUGCACUCCCCGCAAGGUCUCUAUACAGGUGGUGCAUGGUUGUCGUCAGCUCGUGUCGUGAGAUGUUGGGUUAAGUCCCGCAACGAGCGCAACCCUCGUCCUAUGUUGCCAGCACGUAAUGGUGGGAACUCAUGGGAUACUGCCGGGGUCAACUCGGAGGAAGGUGGGGAUGACGUCAAAUCAUCAUGCCCCUUAUGUCUUGGGCUUCACGCAUGCUACAAUGGCCGGUACAGAGGGCUGCAAUACCGUAAGGUGGAGCGAAUCCCAAAAAGCCGGUCUCAGUUCGGAUUGAGGUCUGCAACUCGACCUCAUG
RNAcentral lists this ribosomal RNA (403 nucleotides) under uncultured bacterium. Its description in RNAcentral is "bacterial SSU rRNA". It matches the Rfam family "Bacterial small subunit ribosomal RNA", at positions 917 to 1322 of the family's 1533-position model. The record is from RNAcentral.